AAUGCAUUUAUUUCAGAUGGCAGCGACAUCAGUCCGAAAAAUUUUAAGAUAAAACAUAGAGAUAAGAUCUCCUGACCGAUUAAAAUCAAACCGAAAAUUCAAGCAUGAAAAUGAGAUCUCCUAGUCAGUAAAAAAUCGAGCUAAAAGUUAAGUGCGGAGAUAAGACCUUCUGUCCGAUGAAAAUCGAAUUGAAAAUUCAAAAAUAGAGAUAAGAUCUCUUA
This 221-nucleotide long non-coding RNA is filed under the name Elaeis guineensis (African oil palm). Its description in RNAcentral is "long non-coding RNA (EGUI_LNC008822)". The record is from RNAcentral. Lineage: Eukaryota; Viridiplantae; Streptophyta; Magnoliopsida; Arecales; Arecaceae.